This 465-nucleotide ribosomal RNA is filed under the name Promyrmekiaphila sp. BRRY. Its description in RNAcentral is "partial 16S ribosomal RNA". It matches the Rfam family "Bacterial large subunit ribosomal RNA", at positions 1796 to 2612 of the family's 2925-position model. Lineage: Eukaryota; Metazoa; Arthropoda; Arachnida; Araneae; Euctenizidae. The record is from RNAcentral.
UCGCCUGUUUAUCAAAAACAUUUCUAAAUGAAAAUUAUUUUUAGUAAGACCUGCUCAAUGAUAUAUUAAAUUGCCGCAUUCAAUGUGCUAAGGUAGCAUAAUCAUUUGCCUUUUAAUUGUAGGCUCGCAUGAAUGGUUAUUCAUGUAGAUUUCUUUAUUAACUUUAUAACUUUAAUUUUUCUUAAAAGUCAAAAGACUUUUAUUUAUAAGAGGGACGACAAGACCCUAUCGAGCUUUACUUAUGUUGAACUGGGGCGGUAAAAAACAAAUUCUUUUUUAUUUUCUUUUAAACAUUCUUUUUAUAAAAUCUUUUUAAGUUACCGUAGGGAUAACAGCAUUAUUUUCUUUUAUAGUUCCUAUUAAAAAGAAAGUUUAUGACCUCGAUGUUGAAUUAUUAAUCUUUUUGAAGCAAAAUUUAAAAAAGAAAGUCUGUUCGACUUUUAAAAUUUUACGUGAUCUGAGUUC